Camellia sinensis is the source of this 249-nucleotide non-coding RNA. The record is from RefSeq and is a predicted model, not a curated record. NCBI's taxonomy places the organism in Eukaryota, Viridiplantae, Streptophyta, Magnoliopsida, Ericales, Theaceae.
CUAAUGAAGUAAUGAUGGUUGGGGAUAACCUUAAAGAUGAUGUUGCUUGUGGGAAACGAGCGGGAGCAUUUACAUGCUUGCUUGACAAAACAGGGAGGAAUAGUCUCCAUCGCUCGAACUCCCCCGAACUGGAUCAUCCCCCGAACUCCCUCCCAGGUAUUCUCAUCUGAUCCAGCUUACAAUACCGGAGAUUGUAGAGGGAUCUAAUUGGUUGAUUGUAGAGGGACCACCGAUCACUGUCUUCUGAUG